Molecule: transfer RNA, 72 nt
Filed under: Marmota monax (woodchuck)
Lineage: Eukaryota; Metazoa; Chordata; Mammalia; Rodentia; Sciuridae
Description: tRNA.Ala
Source: RNAcentral
GGGGAUGUGGCUCAAGUGGUAGUGCGCACACCUAGCAUGAGUGAGGCACUGGGUUCGAUUCUCAGCACCACA